GGUGGUAUGGUCUAGUGGUAUGACGUCACGUUGUGGUGCUUGCGAAAGCAGUCCCGUGCCAGCCUGGGUUCGAUUGUACGAUCCCUAUCUUAUCA
This is a non-coding RNA of Coniosporium uncinatum, 95 nucleotides long. The record is from the annotation of a GenBank genome assembly. NCBI's taxonomy places the organism in Eukaryota, Fungi, Ascomycota, Dothideomycetes.